Molecule: ribosomal RNA, 359 nt
Filed under: Escherichia coli
Lineage: Bacteria; Pseudomonadati; Pseudomonadota; Gammaproteobacteria; Enterobacterales; Enterobacteriaceae
Description: partial 23S ribosomal RNA
Rfam family: Bacterial large subunit ribosomal RNA
Source: RNAcentral
AGACCCGAAACCCGGUGAUCUAGCCAUGGGCAGGUUGAAGGUUGGGUAACACUAACUGGAGGACCGAACCGACUAAUGUUGAAAAAUUAGCGGAUGACUUGUGGCUGGGGGUGAAAGGCCAAUCAAACCGGGAGAUAGCUGGUUCUCCCCGAAAGCUAUUUAGGUAGCGCCUCGUGAAUUCAUCUCCGGGGGUAGAGCACUGUUUCGGCAAGGGGGUCAUCCCGACUUACCAACCCGAUGCAAACUGCGAAUACCGGAGAAUGUUAUCACGGGAGACACACGGCGGGUGCUAACGUCCGUCGUGAAGAGGGAAACAACCCAGACCGCCAGCUAAGGUCCCAAAGUCAUGGUUAAGUGGG